This 497-nucleotide ribosomal RNA is filed under the name uncultured bacterium. Its description in RNAcentral is "partial 16S ribosomal RNA". It matches the Rfam family "Bacterial small subunit ribosomal RNA", at positions 28 to 507 of the family's 1533-position model. The record is from RNAcentral.
GAUGAACGCUGGCGGCGUGCCUAAUACAUGCAAGUCGAGCGAACAGAUAAGGAGCUUGCUCCUUUGACGUUAGCGGCGGACGGGUGAGUAACACGUGGGUAACUUACCUAUAAGACUGGAAUAACUCCGGGAAACCGGGGCUAAUGCCGGAUAACAUGUUGAACCGCAUGGUUCUACAGUGAAAUGCGGCUUUGCUGUCACUUAUAGAUGGACCCGCGCCGUAUUGGCUAGUUGGUGAGGUAAAGGCUCACCAAGGCAACGAUACGUAGCCGAGCUGAGAGGGUGAUCGGCCACACUGGAACUGAGCCACGGUCCAGACUCCUACGGGAGGCAGCAGUAGGGAAUCUUACGCAAUGGGCGAGAGCCUGACGGAGCAACGCCGCGUGAGUGAUGACGGUCUUCGGAUCGUAAAACUCUGUUAUUAGGGAAGAACAAAUGCGUAAGUAACUGUGCGCGUCUUGACGGUACCUAAUCAGAAAGCCACGGCUAACUACGUG